This is a non-coding RNA of Schistosoma haematobium, 45 nucleotides long. The record is from Rfam. Lineage: Eukaryota; Metazoa; Platyhelminthes; Trematoda; Strigeidida; Schistosomatidae.
AUCUAACUGACGAGUCCCAAAUAGGACGAAACACGUGUCCUGGAU